AAAUGGCGACAGGGGUGGAGCAAGAGGAUCUGUGAAGGACGUGAAGCUUUGACCAGGCUGUGCGGCAGGCUGUAUUAUGAUUGGCUGGAGGCACUGUUCUGCUGCCUUCUCUGUGUCCUGUGACAUCACCUACGUGUCUCACCGUUAGCAGACUCUCUCAACCCCAGGUAAGUAGAGCUGCUGGUUGGCCAUAGCCUAGCCUCAGGAGGGUAGCUCUGAGGAGCAGCCCAUGACAGAAUUCCACUAAGGCGGAGAAAAAUUCGAACAGUACUCUUGGUGGCACUGGAGGCCCUCGGCAGCUGGUGAAAUAUCUGAGCCUUUCUUUCUGUCUAGAUCCAGGAACAGGAGGAGCCACACCCAACAGCUAUAAAGGCAGGAAGCAUCCACAAGACUGAAGCACAAAAACAUGAAAACCAAGUGUGUGUGCACAACGUUCCAACUAACCGUCAUGCAGAAGUCUGUUUCACACACAUCAGAUGGCACCCUGUGUGACACAACGCAGAACCCGCAGACCCCUGUGUGUGGAUUCUACGGACUGUUAGGGGAAGAUUGUCUCUGUCCAUUGGGAGGGAAGGACUACAAGCUGCAAACAGUCAGAUGGAUUUUGUAAAUCAGGUUGCUCAUGUAUUCUUUUUUUUGAAAAAGGAUUUUUGAGAGCGUUGUCAUCUCACAGCAAAAUUAAAACAAAGGCACAGAGAUUUCCCAUGAAUCUCUCAAGGCCUGCAUUUAUCCAGUCUUCCCCAUUAACACACUGGGAGGCUGAGACUGGAGGACUGCAAGUUCCAGCCCAGCCUGGAUGACUUAUCAAGGACGCUGUCUGAAAAUAAAGAAAAAUAAAAGGCCUGGGAAUUUAAACAUAGGAUGUUUGGACUGUAUCCAAUAGAAUCACAUGAAUGCUGUCUCAUACUUGAACAGUUCAAAGUUUCUGGGCUGGAACCUAGGAUCUAUAAACACACUUACAGGUUAUUCUUACUUCUGCUGUCGUCUUAACACCACAACAGAGUCCCAGCUGUGCUUCGGGAAUGAAGAGGGACCAGUGUUCCUCACAGAGAUCACCAGACCAGGGAGCCAG
Molecule: long non-coding RNA, 1072 nt
Filed under: Heterocephalus glaber (naked mole-rat)
Lineage: Eukaryota; Metazoa; Chordata; Mammalia; Rodentia; Bathyergidae
Description: lncRNA (ENSHGLG00000043399.1)
Source: RNAcentral